GGGGGGACCAUGGCUUGGUGGUGGAGCAUCUGCUUGGCAUGCAGAAAGUCCUAAGUUCAAUCCCCAGCCUCUCCA
RNAcentral lists this transfer RNA (75 nucleotides) under Sphaerodactylus townsendi. Its description in RNAcentral is "tRNA-Ala". The record is from RNAcentral. Lineage: Eukaryota; Metazoa; Chordata; Lepidosauria; Squamata; Sphaerodactylidae.